UAAUUGAAGAGUUUGAUCAUGGCUCAGAUUGAACGCUGGCGGCAGGCCUAACACAUGCAAGUCGAACGGUAACAGGGAGCAGCUUGCUGCUCUGCUGACGAGUGGCGGACGGGUGAGUAAUGUCUGGGAAACUGCCUGAUGGAGGGGGAUAACUACUGGAAACGGUAGCUAAUACCGCAUAACGUCUACGGACCAAAGUGGGGGACCUUCGGGCCUCAUGCCAUCAGAUGUGCCCAGAUGGGAUUAGCUAGUAGGUGGGGUAACGGCUCACCUAGGCGACGAUCCCUAGCUGGUCUGAGAGGAUGACCAGCCACACUGGAACUGAGACACGGUCCAGACUCCUACGGGAGGCAGCAGUGGGGAAUAUUGCACAAUGGGCGCAAGCCUGAUGCAGCCAUGCCGCGUGUAUGAAGAAGGCCUUCGGGUUGUAAAGUACUUUCAGCGGGGAGGAAGGCGUUGUGGUUAAUAACC
This 471-nucleotide ribosomal RNA is filed under the name Cronobacter sakazakii. Its description in RNAcentral is "bacterial SSU rRNA". It matches the Rfam family "Bacterial small subunit ribosomal RNA", at positions 1 to 468 of the family's 1533-position model. Lineage: Bacteria; Pseudomonadati; Pseudomonadota; Gammaproteobacteria; Enterobacterales; Enterobacteriaceae. The record is from RNAcentral.